RNAcentral lists this ribosomal RNA (484 nucleotides) under uncultured bacterium. RNAcentral describes it as "partial 16S ribosomal RNA". It matches the Rfam family "Bacterial small subunit ribosomal RNA", at positions 30 to 507 of the family's 1533-position model. The record is from RNAcentral.
AUUGAACGCUGGCGGCAGGCCUAACACAUGCAAGUCGAGCGGAUGAAGGGAGCUUGCUCCUGGAUUCAGCGGCGGACGGGUGAGUAAUGCCUAGGAAUCUGCCUGGUAGUGGGGGAUAACGUCCGGAAACGGGCGCUAAUACCGCAUACGUCCUGAGGGAGAAAGUGGGGGAUCUUCGGACCUCACGCUAUCAGACGAGCCUAGGUCGGAUUAGCUAGUUGGUGGGGUAAAGGCCUACCAAGGCGACGAUCCGUAACUGGUCUGAGAGGAUGAUCAGUCACACUGGAACUGAGACACGGUCCAGACUCCUACGGGAGGCAGCAGUGGGGAAUAUUGGACAAUGGGCGAAAGCCUGAUCCAGCCAUGCCGCGUGUGUAAAGAAGGUCUUCGGAUUGUAAAGCACUUUAAGUUGGGAGGAAGGGCAGUAAGUUAAUACCUUGCUGUUUUGACGUUACCAACAGAAUAAGCACCGGCUAACUUCGUG